RNAcentral lists this non-coding RNA (218 nucleotides) under Heyndrickxia ginsengihumi. RNAcentral describes it as "Bacillus ginsengihumi T-box sequence". It matches the Rfam family "T-box leader". Rfam says of the family: Uncharged tRNA acts as the effector for transcription antitermination of genes in the T-box leader family. T-boxes are found upstream of many aminoacyl-tRNA synthetase genes and some amino acid biosynthetic genes usually in Gram-positive bacteria. The record is from RNAcentral. Lineage: Bacteria; Bacillati; Bacillota; Bacilli; Caryophanales; Bacillaceae.
GUAUCUGCAAUGACCAAGAUCAGUAAAUAGAAGAUGAUGAAAAGAGAAUGAAGUUCAACGGCUGAAAAACUUCAUCAUCCACUCUUCCAUUGAACCUACCUUGCGAGCUGUUUGGCAAACCAAACCGGAAAAUGACCGUUAUCAACUGAGAGAUACUAGAAUAUAAAGUAUUCUAGUAAUAAAGGUGGUACCGCGAAUAUAAACCCUUCGUCCUUUAA